This 285-nucleotide small RNA is filed under the name chicken gut metagenome. Its description in RNAcentral is "5' ureB small RNA". It matches the Rfam family "5' ureB small RNA". The record is from RNAcentral.
CUGCUGGGGAGAAAUAAAAUGAAUGUGGGUAUCCAGUCCGCCGGCCGUGACGAUCAGGCCUUCCCCUGCCAGGGCCUCCGUGGAGGCUCCCACGGUCAUGCCCGGAGUCACCCCGUCCAUGACAGAGGGAUUUCCGGCUUUUCCGAUACCGGCGAUCUUCCCGUCUUUGAUUCCGAUAUCCGCCUUAUAGAUUCCGGUAUAGUCCACAAUCAGGGCAUUGGUGAUCACCAGAUCCAGAUCUCCGUCUGCGCUGGUGGUUUUUACCGACUGCCCCAUGCCGUCCCG